UACAUGGGGUGCAAACGUUGCUCGGAAUUAUUGGGCGUAAAGCGCACGUAGGCGGUUUGUUAAGUCGGAUGUGAAAUCCCUCGGCUCAACUGAGGAAGUGCAUCCGAAACUGCAGAGCUUGAGUGCCGGAGAGGGUGGCGGAAUUCCCCAAGUAGAGGUGAAAUUCGUAGAUAUGGGGAGGAACACCGGUGGCGAAGGCGGCCACCUGGACGGUAACUGACGCUGAGACGCGAAAGCGUGGGGAGCAAACAGG
Molecule: ribosomal RNA, 253 nt
Filed under: uncultured bacterium
Lineage: Bacteria
Description: partial 16S ribosomal RNA
Rfam family: Bacterial small subunit ribosomal RNA
Source: RNAcentral